This 413-nucleotide ribosomal RNA is filed under the name bacterium enrichment culture clone ALO1_GLFRUDD03HB86W. RNAcentral's name for it is "bacterial SSU rRNA". It matches the Rfam family "Bacterial small subunit ribosomal RNA", at positions 9 to 424 of the family's 1533-position model. The record is from RNAcentral.
GAGUUUGAUCGUGGCUCAGAUUGAACGCUGGCGGCAUGCCUUACACAUGCAAGUCGAACGGCAGCACGGGAGCUUGCUCCUGGUGGCGAGUGGCGAACGGGUGAGUAAUGCAUCGGAACGUAUCCUGGAGUGGGGGAUAACGUAGCGAAAGUUACGCUAAUACCGCAUAUUCUGUGAGCAGGAAAGCGGGGGACCUUCGGGCCUCGCGCUCUUGGAGCGGCCGAUGUCGGAUUAGCUAGUUGGUGAGGUAAAGGCUCACCAAGGCGACGAUCCGUAGCAGGUCUGAGAGGAUGAUCUGCCACACUGGAACUGAGACACGGUCCAGACUCCUACAGGAGGCAGCAGUGGGGAAUUUUGGACAAUGGGGGCAACCCUGAUCCAGCCAUGCCGCGUGAGUGAAGAAGGCCUCGGUU